CCAUCUCUUAACCUCCGCUGCAAUGGUGCCAACUCAGGAACUUAGAAGCGACACAGAUAUCCACACGUUGUCUGAUACUCCAAUCCCACUGUCAUGUCAUACCAUCUGCACUUACAUGGUUCUACAUAUCUGCAUAAACUACAGGACCAAGAAGUCAGUCAUGGAAAAAGGUGAUGGAUGAGUAAAGAAAAGGCCUGCGGAUGGAGUGGAGAUGGCUCAGUGGCUGAGAGCAUGCCUCUAGCUGAAGAAUACAGUUCAAUUCCCACACCCACCUCCGGCAAACACACAUCCAGCUCCCGGGGAUCUGAUGCUCUCAUCUAGUCUCUGUGGGCACGCACAUGCACACAUGUGUGCACAUCCAUGAAUAAAAUAAAAAUGUUAAGCAGUGGCACACC
This 395-nucleotide long non-coding RNA is filed under the name Rattus norvegicus (Norway rat). RNAcentral's name for it is "long non-coding RNA NONRATT016314". The record is from RNAcentral. Lineage: Eukaryota; Metazoa; Chordata; Mammalia; Rodentia; Muridae.